GAUGAACGCUGGCGGCGUGCCUAACACAUGCAAGUCGAACGGAUAAGGCCUGCUUGUGUGUGGUGCUCGCGUCGCAAAGGUGAGUGAAACAUGUGAAUAACCCGCCUCUGACUGUGGGAUAACUUGAAAAAACUGGUGAUAAUACCGGAUUGGAGCUCCUGCUGCUUGGUGGGGGUAGGAAAGUUUCGGCGGUGGGGGAUGGACUCCCGGCUUAUCAGCUUGUUGGUGGGGUAGUGGCUUACCAAGGCUUUGAAGGGUAGCCGGCCUGAGAGGGUGACCGGCCACAUUGGGACUGAGAUACGGCCCAGACUCCUACGGGAGGCAGCAGUGGGGAAUAUUGCACAAUGGGCGGAAGCCUGAUGCAGCAACGCCGCGUGCGGGAUGAAGGCCUUCGGGUUGUAAACCGCUUUCAGCUGUGACGAAGCGUGAGUGACGGUACUGGCAGAAGAAGCACCGGCUAACUACGUG
This 468-nucleotide ribosomal RNA is filed under the name uncultured bacterium. RNAcentral describes it as "partial 16S ribosomal RNA". It matches the Rfam family "Bacterial small subunit ribosomal RNA", at positions 28 to 507 of the family's 1533-position model. The record is from RNAcentral.